GGUCACACGGGAUGACUCUAUAUCCCACCCUCCUCCACCCCCCUGGGAGAGUCUGGAGUGCUGCGUCAUGUCUGAAACCAUGGGAAAAAAAUUUAAAUCAUUCGUAUUCUGCGACAGCAAGAAUUCUUUAGCUGUGAGAGGAGAUGGGGUGUCAAUCAAACGGAAUAUUCCUGGCUAUUUGUAUGUGCGGAAGAAUGAAGCUUUUGCAUCAGAAGGGCUGAGAGCAACGUGGGAUCCGAGCCUCGUCUGCGACCUACACCACAGCUCACGGCAACGCCGGAUCCUUAACCCACUGGGAAAGGGCAGGGAUCGAACCUGCAACCUCAUGGUUCCUACUCAGCUGAACCUCUUUUGCUGUCCAUCAGCGUGAGGCGUGUUCCCAUGAGAAGCACCCUGACCUCGUGGGGAGGUGGGUUUCCCAACUCUUGGGUCCAUAGUUAGGGUCCCUUCGAAAGGACUGUGGUUGCUGCCAGCCUGGGUUUCAUCCUCCUUAAAGCAGAUGGGACAGGAGUUCCCGCUGUGGGGCAAUGGCACAGGCAGCAUCCUUGCUGCUUCAGGGCACGGGUUCAGUGCCCAGCCUGGGAAGCGGAUUAAAGAUCCAGCAUUGCCACAGUGGUAGUGUAGGUCACGACUGUGGCUCAGAUCCGAUCCCUGGCCCGGGAACUCUAUAUGCUGCUGGAAGGCCAAAAAAGAAAGAAGAAGAAAAAAAAAA
Molecule: long non-coding RNA, 712 nt
Filed under: Sus scrofa (pig)
Lineage: Eukaryota; Metazoa; Chordata; Mammalia; Artiodactyla; Suidae
Description: lncRNA (ENSSSCG00050066592.1)
Source: RNAcentral